UACGUAGGCAGCAAGCGUUGUUCGGAGUUACUGGGCGUAAAGGGUGUGUAGGCGGUUGGGUAAGUGUGGUGUGAAAUCUCCCGGCUCAACUGGGAGGGUGCGCUACAAACUGUCUGACUCGAGUGUGGGAUGGGUAAGUGGAAUUCCACGUGUAGCGGUGAAAUGCGUAGAGAUGUGGAGGAACACCGAUGGCGAAGGCAGCCUUCUGGGCCAACACUGACGCUCAUGCACGAAAGCGUGGGGAGCAAACAGG
Molecule: ribosomal RNA, 253 nt
Filed under: uncultured bacterium
Lineage: Bacteria
Description: partial 16S ribosomal RNA
Rfam family: Bacterial small subunit ribosomal RNA
Source: RNAcentral